CAGCCGCCACGGUAAUACGUAGGUGGCAAGCGUUGUCCGGAAUUAUUGGGCGUAAAGGGCUCGCAGGCGGUUUCUUAAGUCUGAUGUGAAAGCCCCCGGCUCAACCGGGGAGGGUCAUUGGAAACUGGGAAACUUGAGUGCAGAAGAGGAGAGUGGAAUUCCACGUGUAGCGGUGAAAUGCGUAGAGAUGUGGAGGAACACCAGUGGCGAGGGCGACUCUCUGGUCUGUAACUGACGCUGAGGAGCGAAAGCGUGGGGAGCGAACAGGAUUAGAUACCCCGGUAGUCCCUGUCUCUUAUAC
Molecule: ribosomal RNA, 301 nt
Filed under: uncultured bacterium
Lineage: Bacteria
Description: partial 16S ribosomal RNA
Rfam family: Bacterial small subunit ribosomal RNA
Source: RNAcentral